This 253-nucleotide ribosomal RNA is filed under the name uncultured bacterium. RNAcentral describes it as "partial 16S ribosomal RNA". It matches the Rfam family "Bacterial small subunit ribosomal RNA", at positions 524 to 776 of the family's 1533-position model. The record is from RNAcentral.
UACGGGGGGGGCAAGCGUUGUUCGGAAUUACUGGGCGUAAAGGGCUCGUAGGUGGCCAACUAAGUCAGACGUGAAAUCCCUCGGCUUAACCGGGGAACUGCGUCUGAUACUGGAUGGCUAGAGUUUGGGAGAGGGAUGCGGAAUUCCAGGUGUAGCGGUGAAAUGCGUAGAUAUCUGGAGGAACACCGGUGGCGAAGGCGGCAUCCUGGACCAACACUGACGCUGAGGAGCGAAAGCCAGGGGAGCAAACGGG